UUAUUUCCAAAACAAAAAAAAUAGUGCUUUACAAAAUUACAGAAAAAUAAUCUACAACAAAAAAAUCUACAGAUUAAAUUAUACAGCCAAAACGAGACCUCUCUCUCUUCUCUAGAGAUAGAAAAAUUCUCUCAAAACCCUUGUUCACCGAUUCAUAUCUUUCACAAGGGUUAGAGAUCAAGGUUCUUCUUCUUUUUGUUCGAUCUUCGGAUCGAUUCUUUUGUUUCGCUAUGGCGAUUUUCCUUUUCGCAUAGACGACUUUUCUUUUCGCAUAUGUUGAACAAAUAAAUGUACCGGCUUCACCGGAGUUGUUUGCUUGUAACUUAUGCCCCUUUCACAAAUCAUCGAGAUCCCAUGUCGUUUGAUUUGGUUCUUCUUCUUUACCGAUUACAGACAUAUUCCUUUUAUAAAGGAGUCAAUCUUCAUUCAUCCUAUUGGAUCCGAGAUCAGUGUUAGAGUGAAGUAUCCUCGAAGGAAAGGGAGACUGUGAUGGUGAUUUUACCUUGGUUGAUGUAAGGAGGGUCCAGCAGAGUCGGCAUCGUUGUAUGGUCUGACAAAGAAUCCUCACUAAAUCAAUUGAGUUUCUUCUUUGUUGUUAUUAAUUGGUAUGGAUAGGACCUCUGGAUUCAAACAACGGCUAUGGUGAAAGAAUAGAGGUUAAGGAGUACCCGUAGAAGGCUUUGUGGCGAAGAAGAUGAUAUACAGACGGUGGUUUGACGUUGAGAACUGCCGGCGAUGGAAAGCUAUGUUUUGCAUGCUUCAUUUAGCCACGUUGCUUGUUCUUUUGUUUAGUGCUUACACGUGUAAAAUAUUUUGAUUAUGUGUUGUACUCCUAUGCUUUUGGGCUUAUGAAAUGCAAAGACGACAAAAAAAAAUUAUACAGCCAAAAACAUAAAUCUACAGUUCAUUCCAAUCAUCCCUAAUCCCUAAGAAGAAAAAAUAAGUCCAAAACCUUACUGAUUCCCAUUAUAUUGUAUCUGAC
RNAcentral lists this long non-coding RNA (982 nucleotides) under Brassica napus (rape). RNAcentral describes it as "long non-coding RNA (BNAP_LNC013036)". Lineage: Eukaryota; Viridiplantae; Streptophyta; Magnoliopsida; Brassicales; Brassicaceae. The record is from RNAcentral.